GAGCCAGAUGUCGUACUGCACUCCUCUAAUCCCAGCAACCUGGAGGCAGAGGCAAGAAGAUCUCAAGUUUGAGGCCAGCCUGGGCUACAUGAUGAGUUCAAGGUUCAAGGACUACACAUAUAUGAUGAAACUUUUGAUUCACAAAUUGAGAAUGACUGUUACAGUUCCUCUCAGUCACCUUAUCAGUGCCUUCCAUUCACCAAAACCUGUGUCUGUUUCAGUCAGUGCAUCCGUUUCUCAAAACAAGCAUCGAGAUGUAGUUCCAGAGCAUGAGGCUCCCAGCAGUGAGCCUACACUUAAUUUAAGGGACCUUGGAUUAUCUGAAUUAAAAAUUGGACAGAUUGAUCAACUGGUAGAAAAUCUACUUCCUGGAUUUUGCAAAGGCAGAAGUGUUUCUUCCCACUGGCAUACAUCUCACGUCUCUGCACAGUCCUUCUUUGAAAAUAAAUAUGGUCACUUAGAUAUGUUUCAUGCUUUACGUUCCUCUUGCUUGUUUCAACAAUAUCCAAGAACUCUUCAGAGAAUUUGUUCAGGUCUUCAGUACUGGCCAGGUAUGAAGCAACAGCUGUAUUUGUUUUGAAAAGUAUAAUAGAUUACUUAACAUUUUAAGAUUUGUUUUAAUGCUGCAAGUGAUUAUGACUGUCCAUUUGCAACGAACAACACUUAAGAGUAUUUGGAAUUUAUUAGUUCAGGUAGUUCUGUAUUAUUUUACAUCUGGAAAAUGUAUAAUAGGAACUAUAAACUUUGUGCGUGAGUGACAAAUACCAUAGUAAAUCAAGCUCCUGGGUAUUUAACUACAUCUCUUUCAAAAUAUCUGACUAAGUGCAUUUGUUUACUAACCUUCAUAUUGAAAUGAAAGAAAAAUAAUACCAAAAUGAGAAAGUCUAGAGGAACACCAGAAGAGUUUUAGUAAAUUAAAAUAGGUGACAGCAAAUUGAUAGUGAAAUCAAAUUUUCAUUCAUUAUUCAUUAAUCGAUUACCAGGCAUUAGUAAUAGUUGUUAAGUGAUAUUGAUAGUUGUGAGUGAAAAAGACAUGCUCCAUAUCUUCAUGAAAUUUAGGAUAGUGUGUCAUGAAAGAUGUGCAUACUUCUGUUUCCAGUAGAGCUCAGGAAAAACUCCCAAGUUUAGAGUCAGUUAGAGUGGGCUUUGGUUGAUAGAUAAAUAAUUGAAAGAUUGCCAGAAAUAGGAACAUGAAGAAUCUCCAUUUCUGUUUUUAAAUAAGAAUACAGCGAUCAGUGCUCACAGCAGAUGAGUUUCUUCAAUAUUACCAUGUAGUAAUUCCAUUUGGAUUACAAAUCACAGGCUACCACGAAUAAGUGUGAUAUCACAAGUGUAUGUGUGAUUCACCACUAAAGUAACCUAUUUGAGUUUUUGGCAUCAGUGCUCAAACCAGGAAUUUCCAGAGGCACAUUCCCCUAAACACAUAUACAUACACAUUCACUCUUCAUUCCAAUGUGCUUUUUUGCUAAUUGUAGCUUACAGUGAAGUCACAUCUGCUGUAGCAUUGGCCCAUUUUUGAGAUGGAAUUUUGCUAAGUAGCUCAGGCUGGCUUCACACUUCUAGCCCUUCUGCCUCGGUCUUCUGAGUAAAUGGGAUUAUGGGCAUGUACCACAGCAUGCAGCUGUGUUGAUGUGUUUUUUUUUGUUUUGUUUUUUUGAGACAGGGUCUUGCUAUGUUGUUCAGGCUGACCUUGAACUCACUUGUAUAGCCUUGGCUGGCCUCAAACUCACUGUGAUCCUUCUUUCUCAGCCACCCGAGUGCCUCAGAUGAUAUUAUACUUACAUUUUUUAUUUAGAAUGGUAAGUUUCCUGUUUAUAGUGGAAACUUUUUUUUUGGUAGUGGGAAUUGAACUCAGGACCUUGCGCUUGCCAGGCAGGCAUUUGUGCCACUGAACUAUAUCCUUGGCCCAAGUUUCCUGUUACUGAAAAGAUUUUUUUAUAAGUCAGAUGUACAUACAUUUACACCUAAUUACGUGGGAGCCUGAAGCAAAAGGAUAGAAUAUUUGAGGCCUACCUGGGCUUCUGAGUGAGAUACCAUGCUGAACAAGCACUUUACCACUAAGCUACAGUUCCAAUGCUAAAAGUUUAUUAAAAGGAUAAGCUAGGCAUGAUGGCAUGUACCUUUGGUCCAAGCUACUCUGAAGCUGAGUUUAGAUGAUCACUUUAGUCCAUGAGUUCACGAUGACUCCAGGCAGCAUGGCCAGACCUAGUAUUUCCCUGACCCCCAGAAUGAAAAAAGAGAUCUAUGUUUCCCUGUUUAAGCUGUAAGGUUACUGCUGUUACUAAAACUGGUCAUUAUUAGCAGAAAAAAAAAUAUGUCAGUUUCUUAAUAAAUACUGAAAUCCUAAGUAAAAUGUGACAAAACCAAGUCUAGACAUGUGCUAAAAAAAUCAUGAUCAGGGAAUACAGGUGUAAUUGUAAUACUAGUAAAUCUGUUAAUUCAUCAUGUUGAUUGGCGAAGGAAAAUGUAUUAUUUCACUGUGUGAUAUAUUUUAAUUGCUGUGCUUCCUGAAACGUUUAGAAAGCUAGAAAUGGAGGGAAACAUUUAAAAAUUUCUUAAAACAUCUGUUUGUUGCCAUCAAUGUGAGAAAUAAGGUGUCUAGUGCCUUAUUUUUAGACAGGAUUUGGGGAUUCUGAACAGUAUGAUUAAAAAGAAAGUCAAAUCAUAUAUACAUUAAAGGAAAGAGCAAAGUUGCAAUUUGUAGGACAUAUGGUUAUUUUCCUGAAAAUCAACCAAAGAUUGUUCAAAUAGUGAAUUUGCUUUGUUUUCAUACAAAGUAAAUGUAUAAAAACAACAGCUUUCUUUUAGCAGAUUUUAUUCACAGUUUGUUCAGAACCCAUUGUUUAUCCUGACAAGAAAUACAUGCUUAUACAUAUAUACAUAUGUAUGAGUUUGAAGCUUUACUGAGACAAAGAAGUGAGUAAAAGAGAAUGUCAAAUCAUGUUUGGAAGGACAUGGCAUUAUAACAGUAUCCAUUUAUGUCCAUAUUUAUAAAGUUAGCAUACUUCUAGUAAAAUCUCUAAAGACUUAUAGAAACUGGGAAGUUAGGUAUUUUUGAACAGUAGAACUCAGUAGUGUACAAUCAUGAAUAACUGCAAAACUAAGUAAUUUAAACUGGUGCUGGCCUAUAUCAGUGUAAAAAAAUUAAGGAUUUGAAUCAAUGAACAAGUGGUGGAUUAUCAAUAAAUGUAGUAGGCUAACUAUUCAUUUGAGAAAAGUUGUUUUAUAUGAAAAAAUAAAUUCCAGACUUUAAAGUUCUGAACGCAAUAAACACAUAAAAAAAAAAAAUCUUAGUUUGAGUUUGGGACUCUUAAUUAAGACAAAAAUAGAGAAACUACAGAUUUAAAAGUAUGGUUACGUUAAUACUACAUACAUUCUUGUAUGACGUAAUUGAAAGACAAGGAUAUAAUUGAAACAAAUAUUUACAGUAUACUCCUCUAAAUAUACGCAUAUACAUACACCCUAUAUAUAUGUAAAAUAUAUGCGCAUUAUAAUUAAAGAUUACUAUCUGUAACAUAUAGUCUACAAAGAAAUAAAAAUGUGAAGAGUGCAAGGGACAUGAUCAAUUAAGAAAAAUAGUAAGUAAAAAUACAAAAGACUUUUUUUUAAAACUUUCUCAGAGUUUUUUUAAUCUGGAGUAUACAAGAAUAACAAGAUACCAAUUUUUUCUUUUUUGCUAGUCAAAUUUAUGUAAAUUUAAAAGGUUUUAUUACCUAGUAUUAUUGAGAAGAUGAAGAAAAGGCACUCAUACAUUAGUAGGGACAUACAAUAACAGCUUUCUUCGAAGGCAGUUUCUUAAUGUUUCACUUCUGGUAAUUUGUUCUGCAUGUGUUGAAGGUUAUGUGUACAAGAAUGUUCACCGCAGUAUUAUUUUUAGCAAUAAAAAGGUAAUGGGAGCUGAGGUUGUAGCUCAUUGGUGGAGCAUGUGCUUAGCCUAUGUGAGGCCUUGGAUUCAAUCUUCAGACCAAACAAAUGAAAACAAAAUAGUAAUAAAUGAAUAAUGUCCAUAAUUGAGAAGUGGUUGAAUAAGUUAUUGUAGUCAGAUAAAUCAGAGAACUCUUAAGUGGCAUUUAAACUGAAUGUACUGUCUGUCCUAUAGUGAAGUACAUCUGUGGUGUACUAUUAAGGAAGACAGUUGUACAAAGUUAUGUUUUAUUUUUAGGAUAAUUUUUAUAGGAAGUAUAUAUAUGUUUGCAAGCAUAGAAUAGUCAUAGAAUUUUAUCAGUGGUUAUUGUGGGGAAGUUGGAUUAAGGUGUGUGGAAACACUGAGUUUUGAUAUUUUUUGUACUUUAAAAAAUAUUUUAUAGGGGCUGGGGAUUUAGCUCAGCGGCAAAGCGCCUGCCUGGCAAGCGCA
Molecule: long non-coding RNA, 4354 nt
Organism: Chinchilla lanigera (long-tailed chinchilla)
Lineage: Eukaryota; Metazoa; Chordata; Mammalia; Rodentia; Chinchillidae
Source: Ensembl